UGCUUCAAAUUGAAUCCUCCAAAUAUCAUUACAAGAAAUGGGUUUACAAUUCAUUGAUUUAAAAGUUCAUAGUUUGGGGAAGGUUUAUAGUUUAAUUUAGAUGGAGUAGUUUAAUUCACAAUUAACAAAUUCUUGGAAUGGAAGUGUUUGGACUGAUCAAAGUAAUUUUGGCUGAUAACAUCAUCGUUCUUCAUCUUACAUCUCUACAUGUAAAGGCAUUGCAUUUUGUUUUUCUCUUUUCUUUUUCUUUAUUUUGUUUUUUUUAAAGGUUCCUACGAUUAGAAUUGUUUGUCAUUUUGUGAUUUUUGAUUUACAGGUGUGGUGUAAGCACUUUGAGGCAGCAAGAAAAGGUGAUUCCCGAGUGAUCACAGCAAUGGACACAGUUCACACCGCUAGCAAACGAAGAAAAUAGAAAGGUCCAGAAGAAAUGAAACAAAAAAGAAGGUUAAACUUGAAAGAGAGAUGAAGGAAGGCCGCUACUCAUUUAUCUCACGGUCCUGGAAACAUCAAUGGGAUGUAUACUAGGGCGGCACGAUGAGAAAGGAAAGAAGGAGCAUGCCAUCUAUUUGAUGAAUGAGUUAUAGCUAUAAAAGCCAUUUUCUUCAUCCCGUUCCACCUACAAUUGGAAGUUGCCACCACCAUUCGAUCAACAACGACCACUUCGCCACCGCCAACCCCAACCCCUGUUACAACCUCUACCCGGCAGCACCAGUAGCUACCAUCUCUAGUUGAUGGAUAAAUGUGGGUAGGUAGAUCAUACCCCGCUUACCGUUUUCCUAAGGUACAAUUGUUUAGCUUUUGGAAAACUUGGUAUGCUAUUAUCUAUUGUUCGAUUUGGAUUUGUGGCAAGUUUACGGCAAGAAAAGCCUGCAGAUUAAGGUUCUAGAAGAAGGUAUAAGAAAGGUUGUAGGUGUGUGGGGAUUGAAUAGGACAGCAUAUUGUUUGG
Camellia sinensis is the source of this 946-nucleotide non-coding RNA. Lineage: Eukaryota; Viridiplantae; Streptophyta; Magnoliopsida; Ericales; Theaceae. The record is from RefSeq and is a predicted model, not a curated record.